CUAUAGCAGCCUUUUAAGUUUCUCCUUUGUUUUCAGAAACUCACACUCUUUUUUCUACCAAAUAUGAAGACAGCAAGCGACACAAAACUGCUACUCAACCGCAUGUGCACACUGGACAUGCUAAUUGGUACAGCGAGUUUGUAUCUCUGUGAGAGAAUGAAGAAGCAAAGAUUCUAGUAGCCACAUACAUUAUGGACCUGUUCCAAAGCUCACUGAAGUCAAUGAGAAUCUUUCAGCUUACUUGUAUACAGAGGUAUGCAUGAUCUUAUCAUGAGGCAACAGAAACCAAAUACAUAGAGUCCGGUCUGCACAGUACUUGGAUGGGAGUCUCUAAAGAAAACCCAGUUGUAAGUGGCACUCUUCUAUUUGGAUCAGCAAUGAAAUAAUAUCCUAGCAUGGUUAAAAGAAGGUACUGAGCUGCUGUUUCAGGUUCCAAAAUAAUUAGUCUCACGGCUAUGGAUGUGAUUUCCGUUUAAAGGAAUGUAGAAGCAGCACCUCAAUCACUGCUGGUGAGUAUCCUUAUUCAUGUUAUGUGCCUUCUGUGGUUAGUAUUUAUAGAAUACCAUAUUCUAAUUCUACUUAACAAUUAGACUAACACCAGAGAGAGUUACGUUUGCCUUCCAGCACAAUUUUCAGCACAGUGAGCAAGGAGUUACACAUACAGAGCUCCCAUAGCAACAUGUUAUUGUUAACUGAAGUUGGGUGCAUAGCUCCAUGUACUAAAAAUUCACUAAGGACCAACUUAGCUGUCAAAUUGGACACUGGUGAAGUAUCUGAGGGCAGAAUACUCCUGUAACCACAUAAGGGUAUUCUAUGGUAAUGGAAUAACCCCUAACACUGCAAUAUUACUAUUAUAAGUUGUAGUGUUUUGGACCACUACUAAACAAAACUACAUUACUAAACAAUAAUGUGCUCCUUUUUUUUGUAAGGAGUGAACCUAAAGUCUUCAUUAUUACAGAACAUUUGAGUAUCACUUCUC
This is a long non-coding RNA of Chrysemys picta bellii (western painted turtle), 979 nucleotides long. RefSeq lists it as uncharacterized. The record is from RefSeq and is a predicted model, not a curated record. NCBI's taxonomy places the organism in Eukaryota, Metazoa, Chordata, Testudines, Emydidae.